GUGUAGGAAGAAAUUUUUCAUGGGCUUGUACGGCUGUACCUGUCCAUUAAACUGAUCCUUUUAUUAUUGGGCCAUAGGUUCUAAAAUCCAAGAUUUGAGUUUCGUUCUUAAAAACCUGAAUGUUUUAGAGAAAACUUAUUGAAAAUAGAUUUAAGUUUUUACUAUAUUUGGUUUUAAGUUUUAGAUAAAAAUUGCUUUUAUAAAACUUAUUGAAAAUAGAUUUAAGUUUUUUUUUAUUAAGGUUAGAAUAUUUUAGAGAAAAGAAUACAACAGGUUUAAUAAAAAGUAUAAUGGUAAGCAGGGCUAGCUCAAGCUUUUUGAUGGCUCAAAACGAUCACUAAAAUUAGGGCCUUUUCCAAAUUAUAUUCUUAUCAACAACAAUAAGAAUUAUAAAAUUAGUAAACCAUAAAAUAUGUGAAGUAAGACCUUAUUUGAAAUUAAAAAAAAAAAUCAAGUAGGUAUGUAAUAUUAUUCCAUAUAUAAAUAACUAACUUUUUCAUGCAUAAAGAGUUGUAAUUUGUGCUUUGGGGAUUUCUUAAAAAAAUAAUUUGAUUUUUUAGUUUUAACCUAAAGGUUUUUACCCUUUUCAAUUUUAACCCUACAAAAUUUGUUUUUUUAACUUUAACUCAAAACUUUUCAUUAUUUGCAAUUUAACUUCACAACUUUUGUCAAUUAUACUUUUCGUCUUUGGUUUAAUUUUUUUACAUUUCGUUACGUAUAGUUCUAAAUUUUUCGAGUUAAUACGACGCAACGUAUGUGUAGUUCAACUUUUUUAUGUUUUAUUUCAAAUUUUGAAAGUUAACACUGCGCAACGUGCAUGUGUUCGUCGCAACAGGCAGAUCCUAGGUCGAGUCAGUGUUGGUGGUCGAUCACGGUUGUGUGACAUUAGUACUAUUUGACACCGUUUUACGCCCCGCCGCAACGCGGAGUGUGCUUUGGGGGUUUCCAAAGAAAAAUGGUUAUGGAUAUGGUUAUCGUAACCUUGGCUUUAGGGUUUUCCAAAAAAAAAAUGAUUUUUUUUUACUUUUCACCCAAAAGUAUUUCAUAAAUUACCUUUAACCCAAAAAUAUUUGUUUUUUUACUUUUAACCCAAAACUUUUUAUCUUUUGCAAUCUAUCCUCACAAAUUUUUUACUUUC
Molecule: long non-coding RNA, 1138 nt
Filed under: Helianthus annuus (common sunflower)
Lineage: Eukaryota; Viridiplantae; Streptophyta; Magnoliopsida; Asterales; Asteraceae
Description: hypothetical non coding rna
Source: RNAcentral